UGUAGAUGGUGCGGACUUCUCCUC
Molecule: non-coding RNA, 24 nt
Filed under: Rattus norvegicus (Norway rat)
Lineage: Eukaryota; Metazoa; Chordata; Mammalia; Rodentia; Muridae
Source: RNAcentral